RNAcentral lists this ribosomal RNA (482 nucleotides) under uncultured bacterium. RNAcentral describes it as "partial 16S ribosomal RNA". It matches the Rfam family "Bacterial small subunit ribosomal RNA", at positions 30 to 507 of the family's 1533-position model. The record is from RNAcentral.
AUUGGACGCUGGCGGCAUGCCUUACACAUGCAAGUCGAACGGUAACGGGCCUUCGGGUGCCGACGAGUGGAGAACGGGUGCGUAAUACAUCGGAACGUGCCCGAUCGUGGGGGAUAACGAGGCGAAAGCUUUGCUAAUACCGCAUACGAUCUACGGAUGAAAGCAGGGGACCGCAAGGCCUUGCGCGGACGGAGCGGCCGAUGGCAGAUUAGGUAGUUGGUGGGAUAAAAGCUUACCAAGCCGACGAUCUGUAGCUGGUCUGAGAGGAUGAUCAGCCACACUGGAAUUGAGACACGGCCCAGCCUCCUACGGGAGGCACCAGUGGGGAAUUUUGGACAAUGGGGGCAAGCCUGAUGCAGCAAUGCCGCGUGGGGGAUGAAGGUCUUCGGUUUGUAAACUGCUUUUGUACGGAACGAAGAGCCUUCUAUUGAAACAUGCACGUCAUGACGGUACCGUACGAGAAAGCACCGGCUAACUACGUG